Molecule: ribosomal RNA, 59 nt
Filed under: Alpinia smithiae
Lineage: Eukaryota; Viridiplantae; Streptophyta; Magnoliopsida; Zingiberales; Zingiberaceae
Description: partial 18S ribosomal RNA
Rfam family: Eukaryotic small subunit ribosomal RNA
Source: RNAcentral
UUUGGAAGGGAGAAAGUCGUAACAAGGUUUCCGUAGGUGAACCUGCGGAAGGAUCAUUG